GAUGAACGCUGGCGGCGUGCUUAACACAUGCAAGUCGAACGAAGCACUUUAUUUGAUUUCCUUCGGGACUGAUUAUUUUGUGACUGAGUGGCGGACGGGUGAGUAACGCGUGGGUAACCUGCCUUGUACAGGGGGAUAACAGUUGGAAACGGCUGCUAAUACCGCAUAAGCGCACAGCAUCGCAUGAUGCAGUGGGAAAAACUCCGGUGGUAUAAGAUGGACCCGCGUUGGUUUAGCUAGUUGGUGAGGUAACGGCCCACCAAGGCGACGAUCCAUAGCCGACCGGAGAGGGUGACAGGCCACAUUGGGACUGAGACCCGGACCAAAAUCCUACGGGAGGCAGCAGUGGGGAAUAUUGCACGAGGGGCGAAAGCCUGAUGAAGCGACGCCGCGUGAGCGAAGAAGUAUUUCGGUAUGUAAAGCUCUAUCAGCAGGGAAGAUAAUGACGGUACCUGACUAAGAAGCACCGGCUAAAUACGUG
RNAcentral lists this ribosomal RNA (481 nucleotides) under uncultured bacterium. RNAcentral's name for it is "partial 16S ribosomal RNA". It matches the Rfam family "Bacterial small subunit ribosomal RNA", at positions 28 to 507 of the family's 1533-position model. The record is from RNAcentral.